GUGGUCAAGUUGUGUAGGGCAUUCGGUGGAUGCCUGGGCACUAGGAGCUGAUGAAGGACGUGGGAGGCUGCGAUAUGCCUCGGGGAGCUGUCAACCGAGCUGAGAUCCGAGGGUUUCCGAAUGGGGUAACCUGGCACCCGUGAUGGGGUGUCGCCACUGCCUGAAUGUAUAGGGUGGUGGGGGGAACGCGGGGAAGUGAAACAUCUUAGUACCCGUAGGAAGAGAAAACAAAUUGUGAUUCCGUGAGUAGUGGCGAGCGAAAGCGGAGGAGGCUAAACCGUGCGCAUGUGAAAAUUGUCAGGUGUUGUGUGUGCGGGGUUGUGGGAUCCAUUGUCUGAGGGCUGACACUCUCAGCGCUGCUUGGCAUGGUUAGUGGAACAGUCUGGGAUGGCUGGCCGGAGUGGGUGAGAGUCCCGUACGCGAAAACUGUGUUGUGGUGGUGUGGUGGUGUUCCCGAGUAGCAGCGUACUCGUGAAAUUCGCUGUGAAUCUGCCGGGACCACUCGGUAAGCCUAAAUACUUCCUAGUGACCGAUAGCGGACAAGUACCGUGAGGGAAAGGUGAAAAGUACCCCGGGAGGGGAGUGAAAGAGUACCUGAAACCGUGUGCCUACAAGCCAUCAGAGCAUGAUCUUUGGGUUGUGUGAUGGUGUGCCUUUUGAAGAAUGAGCCUGCGAGUUCGUGCUGCGUGGCGAGGUUAACCCGUGGUGGGGUAGCCGUAGCGAAAGCGAGUCUGAAGAGGGCGUGUGAGUCGCGUGGUCGAGACCCGAAGCGGGGUGAUCUACCCAUGGCCAGGCUGAAGCGAGGGUAAGACCUCGUGGAGGGCCGAACCCACCAGGGUUGAAAACCUGGGGGAUGAGUUGUGGGUAGGGGUGAAAGGCCAAUCAAACUCCGUGAUAGCUGGUUCUCCCCGAAAUGCAUUUAGGUGCAGCGUCGCGUGUUUCUCAUCUGGGGUAGAGCUACUGGAUGGCCUAGGGGGCCGACAAGCUUACCGAAGUCAGCCAAACUCCGAAUACAGGUGUGUGAAGCGUGGCAGUGAGACGGCGGGGGAAAAGCUUCGUCGUCGAGAGGGAAACAGCCCAGAACUCCAGCUAAGGCCCCUAAGUGUGCGCUAAGUGGGAAAGGAUGUGGGAUUGCCCAGACAACCAGGAGGUUGGCUUAGAAGCAGCCAUCCUUGAAAGAGUGCGUAAUAGCUCACUGGUCAAGUGGUCCUGCGCCGACAAUGUAGCGGGGCUCAAGCGCAUCGCCGAAGCUGAGUCACUCACACAAAUACAUCCGCUCAACCUCUUUGUGGGUUGUGUGUAGUGGUGUGGGUGGGUAGGGGAGCGUCCUGCAUCCAGGGAAGCCGCCGUGGAAGCGAGUGGUGGAGGGUGUGGGAGUGAGAAUGCAGGCAUGAGUAGCGAAUGCAGAGUGAGAAUCUCUGCCGCCGGAUGACCAAGGGUUCCUGGGCCAGGUUGUUCCGCCCAGGGUUAGUCGGGGCCUAAGGCGAGGCCGACAGGCGUAGUCGAUGGAUAACGGGUUGAUAUUCCCGUACCCGUGUGUGUGCGUCCCUAAUGAAACGGUUGAUACUAACCACCCGCUACUGUUCUGGGUCUUCGGAUCUGGGGUGGUGGUGCGUGGGGCCUGAUUCCGCGGUAGUUAAGUGAUGGGGUGACGCAGGAGGGUAGCUCUGCCAGUGAGUGGUAGUACUGGUGUAAGCGUGUGGCCCGUCCGGUUGGUAAAUCCGCCGGGCUGUCUUGGAUGACGUGGGUGAGGCGUGAUGCGUAGCCGGUUGAGGUGAAGUGAGUGAUCCCAUGCUGCCGAGAAAAGCCUCUAGCGAGUGUGUACACGGCCCGUACCCUAAACCGACACAGGUGGUCAGGUAGAGAAUACUGAGGCGUUCGGGUGAACUAUGGUUAAGGAACUCGGCAAAAUGCCCCCGUAACUUCGGGAGAAGGGGGGCCAACCCUGGUGAUAGAGCUAGCCUCUGGAGCUGGGGGUGGCCGCAGAGACCAGCGGAAAGCGACUGUUUACUAAAAACACAGGUCCAUGCGAAGACGCAAGUCGAGGUAUAUGGACUGACGCCUGCCCGGUGCUGGAACGUUAAGAGGACCCGUUAGCUGACAUUGUUGGUGAAGCGGAGAAUUUAAGCGCCAGUAAACGGCGGUGGUAACUAUAACCAUCCUAAGGUAGCGAAAUUCCUUGUCGGGUAAGUUCCGACCUGCACGAAUGGCGUAACGACUUUCCGGCUGUCUCAACCAUAGGCCCGGUGAAAUUGCACUACGAGUAAAGAUGCUCGUUACGCGCGGCAGGACGGAAAGACCCCGGGACCUUUACUAUAGCUUGGUAUUGGUGUUUGGUUCGGCUUGUGUAGGAUAGGUGGGAAACGGUGAAGCCUUCACGCUAGUGGGGGUGGAGUUGAUCUUGAAAUACCACUCUGGUCGUACUGGGCAUCUAACCUCGGACCAUGAUCUGGUUUAGGGACAGUGCCUGGUGGGUAGUUUAACUGGGGCGGUUGCCUCCCAAAAGGUAACGGAGGCGCCCAAAGGUUCCCUCAGCUUGGUUGGCAAUCAGGUGGUGAGUGCAAGUGCACAAGGGAGCUUGACUGUGAGACUGACGGGUCGAGCAGGGACGAAAGUCGGGACUAGUGAUCCGGCCAUGGCUUGUGGAAGCGUGGUCGCUCAACGGAUAAAAGGUACCCCGGGGAUAACAGGCUGAUCUUGCCCAAGAGUCCAUAUCGACGGCAUGGUUUGGCACCUCGAUGUCGGCUCGUCGCAUCCUGGGGCCGGAGUAGGUCCCAAGGGUUGGGCUGUUCGCCCAUUAAAGCGGCACGCGAGCUGGGUUUAGAACGUCGUGAGACAGUUCGGUCCCUAUCCGCCGCGCGCGUAGGAGACUUGCGGAAGGCUGUCCCUAGUACGAGAGGACCGGGACGGACGAACCUCUGGUGUGCCAGUUGUACCGCCAGGUGCACGGCUGGUUGGCUACGUUCGGAAGGGAUAACCGCUGAAGGCAUCUAAGCGGGAAGCCUGUUCCUAGAUGAGGUCUCCCACCCCCAUGUGGGUUAAGGCCCCCACCAGACCAGUGGGUUGAUAGGCCAGACAUGCAAGCACAGUAAUGUGUGUAGUGGACUGGUACUAAUAGGCCGAGGACUUACCCAC
This 3135-nucleotide ribosomal RNA is filed under the name Tamaricihabitans halophyticus. RNAcentral's name for it is "23S ribosomal RNA". It matches the Rfam family "Bacterial large subunit ribosomal RNA". The record is from RNAcentral. Lineage: Bacteria; Bacillati; Actinomycetota; Actinomycetes; Pseudonocardiales; Pseudonocardiaceae.